AUCGCUUCUCGGCCUUUUGGCUAAGAUCAACGCGUAGUAUCUGUUCUUAUCAGCUUAAUAUCUGAUACGCUCUCUAGUAGAGAGCCAGAAUAUUAAACUGAUUUUUGAAACUAGGUGGAGUCUUGGAGCUCGCUCCGUCUCCGCCAUGGGUUGACCUGGCAUUGCAGUGCUGUUGGGAUUAGCCCUCGUUUU
This 192-nucleotide small nuclear RNA is filed under the name Melipona quadrifasciata. RNAcentral describes it as "U2 spliceosomal RNA". It matches the Rfam family "U2 spliceosomal RNA". From Rfam's summary of the family: U2 is a small nuclear RNA (snRNA) component of the spliceosome (involved in pre-mRNA splicing). Complementary binding between U2 snRNA (in an area lying towards the 5' end but 3' to hairpin I) and the branchpoint sequence (BPS) of the intron results the bulging out of an unpaired adenosine, on the BPS, which initiates a nucleophilic attack at the intronic 5' splice site, thus starting the first of two transesterification reactions that mediate splicing. Lineage: Eukaryota; Metazoa; Arthropoda; Insecta; Hymenoptera; Apidae. The record is from Rfam by way of RNAcentral.